UGGGAUACUCACUUUCAGAGGCUUGGGAUCACCUGUUGUGAGGAAGCUCGGACCAAAGGCAGAGCCAGUAGCUCCAAGUGAGCUUUCAGCCAAAAGCCAGCAGCAACCACCAAGCACCUGAGCCAGCCUCUUGGAGACCCAGCUGGGCUGAGUCUUCACUGACUGCAGCUUCAGUCAACAUCUGAACGCAUCCUCGUGAGAGACCCUCAGUAAGAACUGCUCUGCUGAACCUGCCUUUCUUGUGGCUGGGAAGCCAGCUACCAUGUCACGAGGCCACUCUAACAUCCCCAUGAGAGAGCACCACCAGGGGAGGAACAAGGCCUCCUGCCAGCAGCCAGAGCUGCCCUUCCAGGUGUGUGCGUGGCCACCUUGGACGCAGAUCCUCCAGCCCCGGUCAAACCUUCAGAUGACUUCCGUCUCACCUACAGCCUCGAGAGGCUCCCUGAGCCAGAACCAUCCAGCUGAGCUUAUUCCUCCUCGAGUCUAGAAACUGUGUGAAAUAAUACAUGUUUAUUGUUUUAAGCUGCAAA
Macaca mulatta (Rhesus monkey) is the source of this 530-nucleotide non-coding RNA. The record is from RefSeq and is a predicted model, not a curated record. Lineage: Eukaryota; Metazoa; Chordata; Mammalia; Primates; Cercopithecidae.